AGCAGCCGCGGUAAUUCCAGCUCCAAUAGCGUAUAUUAAAGUUGUUGCAGUUAAAAAGCUCGUAGUUGAAUUUCGGGGUUAGUAGGUUGGUCAUGCCUCUGGUAUGUACUGGUCUCACUGAUUCCUCCUUCCUGAUGAACCUUAAUGCCAUUUAUUUGGUGUUUUGGGGAAUUUGGACUGUUACUUUGAAAAAAUUAGAGUGUUUAAAGCAAGCUAACGCUUGAAUACAUUAGCAUGGAAUAAUGAAGUAGGACGUUCGAUCCUAUUUUGUUGGUUUCUAGGAUUGACGUAAUGAUUAAUAGGGAUAGUUGGGGGCAUUAGUAUUCAAUUGUCAGAGGUGAAAUUCUUGGAUUUAUUGAAGACUAACUACUGCGAAAGCAUUUGCCAAGGAUGUUUUCAUUAAUCAAGAACGAAAGUUAGGGGAUCGAAGACGAUCAGAUACCGUCGUAGUCUUAACCAUAAACUAUGCCGACUAGGGAUCGGAUGAUGUUAAUUUUUUAAUGACUCAUUCGGCGCCUUA
Molecule: unclassified non-coding RNA, 520 nt
Filed under: uncultured Glomus
Lineage: Eukaryota; Fungi; Glomeromycota; Glomeromycetes; Glomerales; Glomeraceae
Description: SSU rRNA
Rfam family: Eukaryotic small subunit ribosomal RNA
Source: RNAcentral